UCUCCGUUGGUGAACCAGCGGAGGGAUCAUUACUGAGUUAUUAAAACUCCAAACCCUUUGUGAACCUUACCGUCGUUGCCUCGGCGUGAGCUACGGCUACCCUGUAGUUACCCUAUAGCUACCCUGUAGUUACCCUGCAGCUACCCUAUAGUUACCCUGUAGCUACCCUGUAGCCGGCUUAUGGCCCGCCGAAGGACCGCCAAACUCUUGUUUUUUAUUACUGUUUCUCUGAAUUGUAAACCUAAAUAAGUUAAAACUUUCAACAACGGAUCUCUUGGUUCUGGCAUCGAUGAAGAACGCAGC
RNAcentral lists this unclassified non-coding RNA (303 nucleotides) under uncultured fungus. RNAcentral's name for it is "sequence contains ITS1, 5.8S rRNA gene". The stretch from base 255 to 303 matches the Rfam family "5.8S ribosomal RNA", at positions 1 to 49 of the family's 154-position model. The record is from RNAcentral. Lineage: Eukaryota; Fungi.